This 296-nucleotide ribosomal RNA is filed under the name uncultured marine bacterium. Its description in RNAcentral is "partial 16S ribosomal RNA". It matches the Rfam family "Bacterial small subunit ribosomal RNA", at positions 505 to 803 of the family's 1533-position model. The record is from RNAcentral.
GUGCCAGCAGCUGCGGUAAUACGGAGGGUGCAAGCGUUAAUCGGAAUUACUGGGCGUAAAGCGCACGCAGGCGGUCUGUUAAGUCAGAUGUGAAAUCCCCGGGCUCAACCUGGGAACUGCAUCUGAUACUGGCAGGCUUGAGUCUCGUAGAGGGGUAGAAUUCCAGGUGUAGCGGUGAAAUGCGUAGAGAUCUGGAGGAAUACCGGUGGCGAAGGCGGCCCCUGGACGAAGACUGACGCUCAGGUGCGAAAGCGUGGGAGCGAAACAGGAUUAGAUACCCUGGUAGUCCACGCCGU